GCUGCAAUAGGUAAAAGCCUGGGUUAUCUGGAUCAAGCUAUGCAUGUUCUUACGGAUGCUCCAGCAUGUGACCUUGAACAGGUAUCUACGCGACCUUCAGCCAGUCACUUAACUUCCUGAGUCUCAGCUGCCUCAUGUAAAAUGAAGAUAAUAGUACCUACUUCUUAAGGCCAUUAUGAGGAAGAAAUGAGAUAAUCCAGAUGACAGAAAUACACUACUAUGAUACUCUGCUCCACAAACACAAAUUCAUUCAUCUACCUAUUUCCCUCCUCACCACCCCUUUCUCUCAACACACACACAGGCAUACAAUUUCAUGGUAAAAUAUCUCAGGAACAGAAAACCAGCACAGCAUUACUCCUGCAGUUUCUCCUUAUACAACCUGCAGCUUAAGGGAAGGUCAGCAGCAUAAAAAAAGGUGAUGACUUUGAAAUGUGUAUCACGAAACCAAGCUAUUUAUCAAUAAGCCUAACAAGAAUAAGGUGAGAGCCCAUUUCAGCUGGCCAGAAUGACUGCUGUACAUCACACUCAGAGGCAGCAAGCCAAGACAGAAUAAGGGUUACCAAGUUGUUAUGGUAACUAAAUUGUAGCUGGUUCCAUAAAACAUUAGCUUUUCUAUCCCAGGGCCCAUGUUUAAAAUUCAAUGCAAGUCAAGGUCUUUAGUUCAAAUGAGGCAGCUAGUGGUCCCCUCAACCUACAAUAAACCACGCCAAGAACGAACUCCAUUUGUGCAGAGCACAGCAGCAGCCACAAACAAGCAAGCUCAGCUGCUCUAAGCCAAAGGGCUUCUCCCAUUAACCCUCAGCCUGUGACAUCAUGACCAAAGCGGCAACCUACUCCAGCUGACUUCACCGAUAGACCAGCACUAUCCACAAAGGGAAACAAAACAAAGAUGCAAAACAAAGGUCAGAGAAACCACAGCUGAAAGCAAAAUCAGAGGUGGAACAAUCCUCUGAUAUCCUCAGCACACGUAGAUCAGCGUUUAAGGCAGAGGCUUCAGAGUCCAAGAGAUUCAACUUGAAUAUCAACU
This 1027-nucleotide long non-coding RNA is filed under the name Homo sapiens (human). RNAcentral's name for it is "HSALNT0191845". Lineage: Eukaryota; Metazoa; Chordata; Mammalia; Primates; Hominidae. The record is from RNAcentral.